UCUGUCAUUAUAACAGGAGGAAACGAAGGGAUGGUCAAACUGAAGAUCUCACAGUGAAACAGAUCUCUGAUCCCAAUGAAGACACAUAUACAGCUCUUGAGCUCAAGUCCACGACCUCUGACCUGUACGACACACUCACAACGGUUCAUCCCAGAGCUCCUGAAGACUCCUGCAGGACUCUUGAUCCUCAGAGCUUUUCUAAACAUGAGAAUCCAUCAAUCAACAGGAAGAUGCUGCAGUAAGAGGCGGAGCAUGAAGGAACCAAUCCUGAGCUCUGUGGGCGGAGCCACAUAUGAUUGACAGGGAUCAUCAGUGAUGAGUCACUAAAGAUGUUUAUUUCUGUAUAGUUGAAG
This is a long non-coding RNA of Megalobrama amblycephala (Wuchang bream), 353 nucleotides long. RefSeq lists it as uncharacterized. NCBI's taxonomy places the organism in Eukaryota, Metazoa, Chordata, Actinopteri, Cypriniformes, Xenocyprididae. The record is from RefSeq and is a predicted model, not a curated record. The transcript is spliced from 4 exons.